This 397-nucleotide long non-coding RNA is filed under the name Manacus vitellinus (golden-collared manakin). RNAcentral's name for it is "lncRNA (ENSMVIG00005009151.1)". Lineage: Eukaryota; Metazoa; Chordata; Aves; Passeriformes; Pipridae. The record is from RNAcentral.
AGCCCUUGGAAGUGCGUCACUCCCUGCGGAGCUGCUGCGGCGUUCCCGAGGGCUGUGCCUGCGGAUCCAGCGUGGAGAGCCCCAUCUCCAGCAGCCAGGUGGAGCAGACACCCAGGGAAAAGGGACUUCGGUGUGGGACAGAGCUCAAAUGUCAGUGCCCCUUCCGCCACGGCCUAGCAGCCUGGAUGUAGUCGUCCUGUCAGAAGUAUGAAAUUUACAGCAGAAGAAUUAAUUUAACACCAAAAAAGCUCUCCCUCAUCUGAACUGUCAUUCAAAAUGCACAAUGAAAAUCACCAAGGAGGAGUUUUCUACCCCACUGUCUACAGGACUCCUGGAAGAAUCUUCUGAAACUUGCGCACAUCUGUCUCGGACUGCCCUUAAAAAGACAAAGCAGUGA